UAUUCUUUUCCACUGAUUUUAUAUUAAUCAUGAUGGUCUUUUUCCUUCCUAUUUCAAUCCUAAUCUGUCUUUAUAAAAGCUUUUUAAAUUUAUUCAACUUUAUAACUACCUCUUUAUUGCUAGUCUGCAGACAUGGAGGUACAGCCUGUGUAUUUGCAGAUGCUUUGGGAAUACAUACUCUACACAUAUAGAUGAGGUUUUUUAUUGGACCAUUGAUAUAUUCUUACAGAUAAAACAUUCCUAUACCUGUAGUGUGAUGAAACAGUAUCAUCUGGCUUCCCCAACAUAUGAUACACUUUUUUUAAACCCCAAAAUGUUCUGAUCUAUUCUCUUUAGUCAGCAAGAAUUUUUAGUUUUUUGAAACUCUUAGUUUAGAAAUUUUUUAGAAGAUUUAACUGAGCUCUCUAUAAGGUUUCACUGUAAUUCCGGAUGCUUUAUUUGUUUUUACGUUGAAGUAAGAAAGAAUAGCUCCACUUGCGCAGGAAAAAUUAUUCUUUUUCUGCUUUUUCCUGGGAGAAUAAACUGAUUAGGGGAAACUUUCAUCUGUUAUCUUUCCUUUCAUCCAGGAUCGACAGAAAUUUAAUUUUUUUGAGGUUUCUUAAAUAAUUUUAAAAUGAGGGAGGGAUAAAUUUAGAUUUGCAUGUCCUUACUUGGAUGUUUUUCAGGGCAGUCUUCACAGGGCAGUAUGUGAAAGUUUUCCGCCUUGCUCAGGAUUCUGCCUGUGACUUAGGGAGCUGUUUUCAGGAAGGUCUUCAACUCACUCGACUUGUUUAAUCCUAAUCUUUCCCAGAGGAGAAGCGAUGCUGACGGGCUCCCUGUCCCUCCACGCAGCGCUGCAGAGAGCAUCCUGCCUGCGGCCGCGUGGUUGUGGAACUCACGCUGAAGGUUUAAAAGCUGUGUUCAGUCUUCCCUGCUCCGCAGUUACUCACCGAGUGGGCUGCUGGGCGAGUGGGCUGUUGCUGGGCAAGCGGGUGGGCGAGUGGGCUGCUGGGCGAGUGGGUGGGCUGGCCGGCAGAUGGAGGGAGGCGUGGGCGGCACAGCGCUCAGCACCCAAGGGCACCGCGCCAGCCUCACGUCUGCCCGGGAAACCGGGCUGCAACCGGCUGGCAACCAUGCCCCAAACCGAAAAAUCCGUUCUACAACCUCGUUUGCAAGAGAAGAAGGAUCUUGAUUCAAGUGUUUAUGUGUUUAAUUUUUUCUCAUCCGUAUAGGUGGUCAUUGGACGUGUCUGGGAAGGAGAAAUAUUUUGGUCUUGCGUCAUUCGGGUUGUGCUCUUGCAUGGUUACAAGAGCCCCCAACAGGAUAUUUCUGGACUGCUUCUCAGUAAUGUCUGGCUGAACUUGUUUCCAUGCUUCUGGAGAAAGUCCAGGACGGCAGAGAGCUCCUGGGGACAGGUACUGGCAGGCUGCUGCGAUCUGAGGCACUGUCUGUCCUAGGAAGAAAAUGGUUAAUUAAAAAUCACAUCCUGUGCUUCACAACAGUUUUGCCUUACUGAAAGACUUGACCCAAAUAAUAAUGAAAACUAACUGAAAAACAUUAAGUUUUAUAAUUCUUGUGAGGUAUAAAAACAAUGCCAGUUUAUAAAAAACACAAUUUCCAGUAAAAUAAACAAAAAAAGGAUUGCUAAUAA
Long non-coding RNA from Aquila chrysaetos chrysaetos, 1630 nucleotides. RefSeq lists it as uncharacterized. The transcript has 2 exons. The record is from RefSeq and is a predicted model, not a curated record. NCBI's taxonomy places the organism in Eukaryota, Metazoa, Chordata, Aves, Accipitriformes, Accipitridae.